CAGCAGCCGCGGUAAUACAGAGGGUGCAAGCGUUAAUCGGAAUUACUGGGCGUAAAGCGCGCGUAGGUGGUUUGUUAAGUUGGAUGUGAAAUCCCCGGGCUCAACCUGGGAACUGCAUCCAAAACUGGCAAGCUAGAGUAUGGUAGAGGGUGGUGGAAUUUACUGUGUAGCGGUGAAAUGCGUAGAUAUAGGAAGGAACACCAGUGGCGAAGGCGACCACCUGGACUGAUACUGACACUGAGGUGCGAAAGCGUGGGGAGCAAACAGGAUUAGAUACCCGGGUAGUCCCUGUCUCUUAUAC
RNAcentral lists this ribosomal RNA (301 nucleotides) under uncultured bacterium. RNAcentral describes it as "partial 16S ribosomal RNA". It matches the Rfam family "Bacterial small subunit ribosomal RNA", at positions 509 to 807 of the family's 1533-position model. The record is from RNAcentral.